RNAcentral lists this ribosomal RNA (440 nucleotides) under uncultured bacterium. RNAcentral's name for it is "partial 16S ribosomal RNA". It matches the Rfam family "Bacterial small subunit ribosomal RNA", at positions 338 to 795 of the family's 1533-position model. The record is from RNAcentral.
CCUACGGGAGGCAGCAGUGGGGAAUAUUGCACAAUGGGGGAAACCCUGAUGCAGCGACGCCGCGUGAUGGAAGAAGUCUUUCGGUAUGUAAACUUCUAUCAGCGGGGACGAAAAUGACGGUAACUCACUAAGAAGGCUCCGCCAACCACGUGCCAGCAGCCGCGGGAAUACGUAGGGGGCAAGCGUUAUCCGGAUUUACGGGGUGUAAAGGGAGCGUAGGCGGUGUAGCAAGCCAGAAGUGAAAGCCCGGGGCCCAACCCCGAGACUGCUUUUGGAACUGCUGAACUAGAUGGCAGGAGAGGUAGGUGGAAUUCCUAGUGUAGCGGUGAAAUGCGUAGAUAUUAGGAGGAACACCAGUGGCGAAGGCGGCUUGCUGGACUGUAAAUGACGCUGAGGCUCGAAAGCGUGGGGAGCAACCAGGAUUAGAUACCCGGGUAGUC